Long non-coding RNA from Ornithodoros turicata, 589 nucleotides. RefSeq lists it as uncharacterized. The transcript is spliced from 2 exons. Lineage: Eukaryota; Metazoa; Arthropoda; Arachnida; Ixodida; Argasidae. The record is from RefSeq and is a predicted model, not a curated record.
ACGUGGAUAAUAAUUAUCAAACCAUUCAAGAGGAAGCACGUCUGCGACAAAAUGAAGAUUUGGACGCCGUACGGAACGGCGCCGACAACCGAAUUACUUCCUCUGAGAUAGAGUACGGGCCUGUGCCUUUCAAGACUUCCGACCGAAACUGUCGCCUGCCAACUUCAUGUGAUGGCCAACAUGACCGUCCAUCUGAGAAGCACACGCUAUCAUUCAAUUUCAACCUAAGCAGCAGCGACGUAGAAAUUACCCUUUCCUACACGGGCAGCAUGAUUCAGGAUCCCUAUAUAUUCCUGCGGUUCCCAAGAUCUCGAGAACCACCAGUCUGGACAAUGUCGAUCGCUGACAACUAGUCACCGUCGCCUCCAAACAGAAUAGUGUAAACCUUGGGCUCGCAUCUACCGCGCAGGCCGAGAGCAGGUGUCUCAAGGGUGAAAGACGUACGGAGCACUUAUACACCGUUCUUGGUGAAGCAUCUUGAACAUCCUCUCAGUGGAAAGAUGCUUUGUACUGUUCAGCUACGAGCAUCUGCAAGUUCGCAAUUGAAGCUAUAUGCCUUCCUGACUGCGCAAUAAAUGUAUUAAGACGA